This 266-nucleotide long non-coding RNA is filed under the name Hordeum vulgare. RNAcentral describes it as "long non-coding RNA (HVUL_LNC005722)". The record is from RNAcentral. Lineage: Eukaryota; Viridiplantae; Streptophyta; Magnoliopsida; Poales; Poaceae.
CUGGUCGGCUACUUGUAGUUGGUCCUGCCCGCCGAAACUAGCCUGGUCCAGCACGUACGUACGUACGUACCUACGGUGCCACUUGCCAGGGCUGUGCCGACCGGCAACGUUUAUGGAGUGCCACUGGCCGCCGGCCUGCCGGUGCAGUGCAUACGUGCAAUGCAAUGUAUCCGGUGAGUUGUUGGCACACACGACGAUCCGGCAAUGGCCAUGCACUCUGUACUCUGUAAUUGAGCUGAUAAGAUCAGAGACAGCUUUGGCAUGGU